RNAcentral lists this long non-coding RNA (930 nucleotides) under Linum usitatissimum (flax). RNAcentral describes it as "long non-coding RNA (LUSI_LNC002575)". Lineage: Eukaryota; Viridiplantae; Streptophyta; Magnoliopsida; Malpighiales; Linaceae. The record is from RNAcentral.
GUUGCGUUGCGUGCCCAAAGGGCAUAACUGGGUCCUUUAUAUUCCAGUCUGGCUGGAAGGAAGGGAGUAGUGUGCUCCAUAACCAUUCCACCACACUUUGACUGAAUUGGUAGAAUCUAGCUUUUCUGACCCUGAAAGUAAUACCGGAUUUUUACUUAUUAUGUUUCUGAUUGAAAUCCUACAUUAUCAAUUUAUCAUGAGCAUUUUUUGACAAACAAGCUAGGAGAGUUUUUGUUGUUGUCGUUGAAACGAGGUUAUAUUAUUCAUCAAUCUAUGUGACAAAGAUGAUGUAAAUAGGAAAUUACAUAAUUAGAUUUCAGAUAGGUAGAGAAUCAGUACGACAAGAUUUUGCUAUCAGGUCUGUCAAUUGAUUCAACCAACGUGAAACAAUAAACCGAACUAUAAAAUUAUUAUGUUCUAUAUUAAAUUGUCUUUAGCUCGGGAUUUUCCAUUCAGGAAAAGAUCUAAUGGUUGAUCCGACUCUUUCAGAGGUCACCAUGACCGAUGUCGCCAGUGCUGCUGUUUCCAUACCGUCGGACCCGGCCGAUACCCAACAGUUCUCGCCGCCGCCAACCGCAUGGUUUGAGCCGCCGCAGGAGAUUGGAUCUCGCAAGAGACCGAUAAAAUGAUUGGAUCCCAUCACCGGGGAUUUUAUCGGAAAAGUAGAAAGGGGAGAGGAAAGGAAGAAGGCGAAGAGGAGAGAAAGUUGGAUGAAGUAGAGACAAUUGUAAUUAUGAUUCAUGUUCGAUUUCAGGGACAGCUCAGGGUAGAUAACUCAGCUGCAGCGUGCAGUACGAUAGUAACAGAAAUCCGUAAGACCACAAUGCAAUUUGGUCACUAGAGUUUAGAGAAUUACAAAUUAAACAGAAAUUUAAAAGAUGCCUAAAUUAGUCCUUCAAGUUCUGACAAUACCCUAUUGUGAAAUUCGGC